Molecule: transfer RNA, 72 nt
Filed under: Neotoma lepida (desert woodrat)
Lineage: Eukaryota; Metazoa; Chordata; Mammalia; Rodentia; Cricetidae
Rfam family: tRNA
About the family: Transfer RNA (tRNA) molecules are approximately 80 nucleotides in length. Their secondary structure includes four short double-helical elements and three loops (D, anti-codon, and T loops).
Source: Rfam by way of RNAcentral
UGUGGUGUAGCUUAGUGGCAGAGUGCUUCCCUGACAUGUGAGGAGUCCUGGGUUCAAUCUCCAGUGCCAUAA